This 23-nucleotide small nuclear RNA is filed under the name Arabidopsis thaliana (thale cress). RNAcentral describes it as "snRNA_13240". The record is from RNAcentral. Lineage: Eukaryota; Viridiplantae; Streptophyta; Magnoliopsida; Brassicales; Brassicaceae.
AAACCAAAACAUAUUCGACUAAA